Small nuclear RNA from Marmota marmota marmota (Alpine marmot), 105 nucleotides. Lineage: Eukaryota; Metazoa; Chordata; Mammalia; Rodentia; Sciuridae. The record is from Ensembl.
GUGCUCACUUCAGCAGCACAUAUACUAAAAUUGGAAUGAGAGAGAAGACUAUUAUGGCCCCUGUGCAAGGAUGACAUGCAAAUUCGUGAAACGUUCUAUAUUUUU